Molecule: long non-coding RNA, 2204 nt
Filed under: Malus domestica (apple)
Lineage: Eukaryota; Viridiplantae; Streptophyta; Magnoliopsida; Rosales; Rosaceae
Description: long non-coding RNA (MDOM_LNC013724)
Source: RNAcentral
CUUCCCUCAAGGGGUACCCUUUUAUUCCAGGUAUUCUUGUCAAAAAUGUCAAAUGCAAUUAUGCAAAUUCAACUCAAAAAUCCUUCAAACAAUGGUGGUUGUGGAUAUCAUCCCUUCAUAACAAAGUCAUCCCCCAAUCCCAUCCCCUUCUCUCUCUCUCUCUCUCUCUCUCUCUCUCUCUCAUCAUUUGCCAGUUACAAACACACUCUUUUCAUGACAAUUGAGGUGGAGGAAUUCCAUAUGACCCUUCAAAAUCAACCCAAAGAAUCCCAAAACCAGAUAUCCAACCUUCUGCUCAAAUGGGGGCUUCAAAGCCGUCGCCUUUGAUACCAGAAACGCCGGCAGAUUCGCAGCAACUGAAAGGGUCUCAUAUAAUUCAUCUGCAGAAUCAGAUUUCGUUUGCGUUUUCGUGUCUUCUUCUGCAGGUGUGCUUUUUUGUUUGCCAUUUUUGUUGAUUAAUAUUUCUUUGCAUUUUGGGGUCCUCCUGUUUUUCCUUUGUCUUUGGGGUUUUGUGGAUGAUCCGUUUGUUUAUAUGUGCAAUUGAUGCUUUAGAUGUCGAUAUUAUUAAUCAAGUUUUGAUUUUUAACUGGAGCUGCUUGAAUUAUAGAGAUGUUUAUGAUCUUGUUAAGGUCUGGAUUAAGAUGCUAAUGAGGUAGAUUAUAGAUUUCUGGUGUUGGGUCUUAUGCUUAUAAACCCCGGAGUCCCGAAAGAACAAGAUCUCAUUUGAGCUAUCUUGUAGGAUAUGUAGUAUGCUGGUGUAUGUUGAAUUGUUGAUUUAUUUCAAAGACAUUUACACAAGAAGGAAUGAGACUAGUAAUCCGCAGCGUUUGGUUGAGUUAUGUCAUUUGGAAGUGUUUUUGGCGUAGAAGAAUAUACACUAGGAGGGUUGAUUCUGUUUAUUUCACAUCGAUUGUAUCUUCGAGGAAAGAAGAGUCUAAAUAUUCUAACCUCACUCCAACUAAUACCGAGACAUUUUGUGAUAAAACUCCAUACUUGAUGGAUUGUGCAGGUGGUAAUUACUAAGUUGGGGACGAUAUCGGUGUUGUUAGAAGUGAGCCUUUGGCCCGUGUCUCUCAUAAUUUGACAGUUUCUGUUGUAGAGUGCAUUUUGAGAUUGAUUUGAUUCGUAGACACUGUGAUUAGUGUAAGUUCAUGUCUUUUCCUCCGAUUGAUCACUUUUGGGAACAUGUAGAGAGCAAUCGUUGUGUUGAUCGUUUUAAUCUUUUGGUAUGAAGUAGAAAAUUCAAAAAAAAAUUUGUGCACAGGACAUUCUGUUGUUUCACAGGACCUUUGAUAGUUAGUUAAACCAUUUUAUUAGAUUUUGGUUGCAAAUUGGAGACAAGUUUAGCUGCCUAAUGCAGACCUGGUUUGGUCUUUCGACUUUCUGCUAGCUCUCUUUCAACUUGUGCCUUUGGGAUCCAGUUUGCUGAUGGUGUAUGAUUCUCUCCAAGGUAGUUUGGACAUUUGUAUUGAAUACUUUGUUUAUACAAGUUAUUCAUGAAACCGUACUUAGUUCAUCGGUAGUACUUCGACAGUAGUAGAACAAUCGUUUCUUUUAUAGUCGGUGUACUCAACUUAUUCUGUGCAUCCAAAUUUACUUUUGCUUUUGAGAGUAGAAUAGCCAUGUUUCUAGCAUCCUUUUGCAUCAAGAUCCAUUUAUAUAUGGAAAUUUGUUAAGCUUUGCAAGGGUAUAGUUCCUACGAUUUGAAUGUCGAUGUAAUCACAAAAUAUGUUACGGUUUGUAUUUUCUUCUGACAAAUGUUACUGUUUGUGUUUUCUUUUGACAUGUUCGUCGAUGCAUGAAAAACCUCAGCCUGGAUUUCAACAGUAAUUAGAGCUCAUCCUUUCAACAACGAUGAACUUAAAUAUUUGUUUGUGCAGGGUGCUCUCAUCUCUGGCUCUACCUGGUGUAGUAAACCCCGCUUCGUGUUCAGGUGUUUAUCAAUUUAAUCAUCACCAUAUCAAGGGAAACCAGAAGGAAUUUUUACUCGAAGAAGAAAGUGGUAUUUUGCCACGAAUGCGAAUUUGUUUGCUUUCUUCGCAGGAUUUAUGUACGCAGUUUAAACAUGCUACAAGAGAUCAACACCGCAAGCUGUAAAUCUCCAGCUUCAUACAGGAGGGAAUGAAUCAGGACAAGUUCUUGAUGUCAUUUGCUAUAAUCAACUUUACAUUUGAGCAACAAUCUGACAGGUUCUGAAAGAAACG